This 449-nucleotide ribosomal RNA is filed under the name uncultured bacterium. RNAcentral describes it as "partial 16S ribosomal RNA". It matches the Rfam family "Bacterial small subunit ribosomal RNA", at positions 354 to 796 of the family's 1533-position model. The record is from RNAcentral.
GUCGAGAAUCUUUCACAAUGGGGGCAACCCUGAUGGAGCGACGCCGCGUGGAGGAUAAGGUCUUCGGAUUGUAAACUCCUGUCAUGCGUGAACAAGGUUGCUUGGUUAAUACCUGGGCAAAUUGAUGGUAACGCAAGAGGAAGAGACGGCUAACUCUGUGCCAGCAGCCGCGGUAAUACAGAGGUCUCAAGCGUUGUUCGGAAUCACUGGGCGUAAAGGGUGCGUAGGUGGCGUGGUAAGUCAGAUGUGAAAACCCGGGGCUCAACCUCGGAACUGCAUCCGAUACUGCCAUGCUAGAGUACUGGAGAGUUGACUAGAAUUCUCGGUGUAGCAGUGAAAUGCGUAGAUAUCGAGAGGAAUACCAAAGGCGUAGGCAGGUCACUGGACAGUUACUGACACUGAGGCACGAAGGCCAGGGGAGCGAACGGGAUUAGAAACCCGGGUAGUCC